UGGGGGAUAUUGCACAAUGGGCGAAAGCCUGAUGCAGCGACGCCGCGUGGGGGAUGAAGGCCUUCGGGUUGUAAACUUCUUUUGCUCUGAACAAGGCAUGCUAAUGGGUGUGUUGAGUGUAGGGGUUGAUUAGCGCCGGCUAACUACGUGCCAGCAGCCGCGGUAAUACGUAGGGCGCGAGCGUUGUCCGGAAUUAUUGGGCGUAAAGGGCUUGUAGGUGGCUGGUUGCGUCUGUCGUGAAAGCUCAUGGCUUAACUGUGGGUUUGCGGUGGGUACGGGCUGGCUUGAGUGCAGUAGGGGAGGCUGGAAUUCCUGGUGUAGCGGUGGAAUGCGCAGAUAUGAGGAGGAAUACCGGUGGCGAAGGCGGGUCUCUGGGCUGUUACUGACACUGAGGAGCGAAAGCAUGGGGAGCGAACAGG
Molecule: ribosomal RNA, 419 nt
Filed under: bacterium
Lineage: Bacteria
Description: partial 16S ribosomal RNA
Rfam family: Bacterial small subunit ribosomal RNA
Source: RNAcentral